GGUGGGGUAACGGCUCACCUAGGCGACGAUCCCUAGCUGGUCUGAGAGGAUGACCAGCCACACUGGAACUGAGACACGGUCCAGACUCCUACGGGAGGCAGCAGUGGGGAAUAUUGCACAAUGGGCGCAAGCCUGAUGCAGCCAUGCCGCGUGUAUGAAGAAGGCC
This 166-nucleotide ribosomal RNA is filed under the name Enterobacter cloacae. RNAcentral describes it as "partial 16S ribosomal RNA". It matches the Rfam family "Bacterial small subunit ribosomal RNA", at positions 251 to 416 of the family's 1533-position model. Lineage: Bacteria; Pseudomonadati; Pseudomonadota; Gammaproteobacteria; Enterobacterales; Enterobacteriaceae. The record is from RNAcentral.